Molecule: long non-coding RNA, 2489 nt
Organism: Takifugu rubripes (torafugu)
Lineage: Eukaryota; Metazoa; Chordata; Actinopteri; Tetraodontiformes; Tetraodontidae
Source: Ensembl
AUGACGGCAAGUGGCGACGCAGACAUCGAGUCUCUUCGGAAGAGGACUUAUCGGCCGCUGGACGUUUUCCUCUUGGUGUCCAUCAUUUUUCUCUUCAUGGCGAUGGCGGCCGUCGUCGCGGCCGUAGUGAUCGCUGACAAACGGCGCGAGUGUUUCGACCUGCAGGGCAAAGGCGACUCCGGUCAAUCUGCUUAUAAGAUGGAGAACUUUGUGUAUCUGGACGCAAAAUCAAGUGAUUUGACGAAUUCCACCAUGCCCUGGGAGGUGGUGGACUACGGCGAGGGGACGUCCAAAGGAAACCUCUUUGAAUUUAACCAAAAACAGAACGCUCUGCAGACCAAACAGGCUGGCAUGUACUUCAUAUACGUUGUCCUCAACCUCACCUGCACCCACCGGGACAACUGCACCCCAGGGCGCCUCCACGUGCAGGUGGGUGACAAGCUCACCUGUGAAGUGGAGCUUCAGUCUGAGCCACGCGUGACCAAGAAGUGCUGGACAGUGAGUAAAGUGGAGCGCGAGAAGCUGCUCACUCAGAUGACCGUACCCAAAACUGGACUGACCAACUGGAAACUGGAACUGAAGGGCUCGGGAUUGGGAAUGUUCCUUGUGGAUUAAGGUGGACGCUCUGGUGCCGCGACAUUCACCGGAUCUGGUCUUCACUAAAAAAAAAAACAACACAACAAAGAUUUAUUCCAAACUGAGAGUUGAGAAUAAUCUUUUAAAAAAAAAACCAACAGACUGUAUAGAAUAGCGAACAGAAUUUGUAAAAUAUUUAUUUGUUGAUAUGGAACUAUUUAUGUAUUUAUAGAACUUCACUUGUGUUUGAAUGUAGGUAUCACUACAUCGGAGUUAAUGUGCAAUAGGUGGAGUGUUUGAUUGCUCGGAGGUUUAUGUUGUAAAGCUCAUGUUUUCUUGAAUUUCAACGGUUCAGUUUAAGGUAAAAUGGGACGUUUACUGUAAACAAACAUCAAGACGUAACAGGAGAAAACGGCCAAAAGAAGGUUGAGCACUCAAUUUUUUUCAAAAAUUAUACUUCAAGUGUAUGUACCAGUCCUGUGGACUAACUACAAAAGCGAUGUACUGGGAGCAGUUUUUAAAAAUCCUUAUGAAACGCAGAUACGGUGAAGUAGAAGGCUUGAGUAAACGAGAGCAGGUUGGAAGUUUCAAGCGGAAAGUAUCGAAGCCGUUCGGGGAAAGGAAAGUUCUCUGAUGCUCAACCAAUUCUGGAAAGUGGAUUAACUUAAUUUCCUUUUGAGGUUUAAGGGAAAAUUACUGGGCCGGCAAACCAUCAAGGUUACACUUCCUGUGGCAAAGAACAAGACGAGCGACGACAAGUUCUGCUUUGAGCGUUUAAAAGUCCAGCCUCUGUCUGUUUCUGUGUGCGUGCUUCUAUGCGUAAAGUGAAUGUUUCCAAAGAUUUUUUUUUUGUUGAAUGGCCCCUUGGGGACGAUCCCCACACAGACAACAUGUAUAAACUGUCCUAAAUGUCACUGACUUUUGCAGUUCAUUAGAGAUGGAUGUACAGGUCUGUUCUGGACAAAGAUCCUCUUUACACCCGUUUGAUGGAUUAAACAGGAAAAAACACUCUCUUCUUACAUGUGAUAUGUUUUUACUGAGUCCUGAUGGGAGCUACCUUCGACAUGCCAACAUCUAUACUUCAGUGUCUCCUUCAGAGUCCACAGUUGCUCUGACGACCAGAUUGACCAAAUUACCCCCUCGGCAUUAAUUAAUUUCUCUGACGAAACCCCAGUUUUAGUAGUAGGUUCAUUCUGAUUAUCGCAUUGGAGAAUUGCCCAGACUUUAUCCUCUCCUCCUUUGUCUGGACUGAUACAGUAUUUUAAUAUCCUAUUUACCUUAAUGCCAACAUCAAGAUUGCAAGAAGGACUUCCCCUCUUUCUUUUGAAAUCUGUUCAGGUGGUAAAUAGAAAUAAGGGAACGUGACAUUUAGACCCGCGACCGGUCAGCAAAAGUAACGGCUACUUUUCUUUCUUGCAACAUGACUCGUGCACACGGAACCGUGCACCGUGCCGGAGGGCGCAAGGCCCAAAUCUCACCAUGUUGCCUGAUGAUUUCAGUCGUGCACAGAUGAUUACGUGCACCACAGAAGAUAACCCAAAUCUUUUCUUAGCAUCUGAAGCCAGUGGAUGCAAAUUUACCUUCCUAUCUAUUUGUUCUUUCACACCAUUCAUGUAUCUUUUUUUACGCUUUAUUCAUGCACAGGUUCCCCUUCUAACUUCCCCCUCGAGCACCAGAUUCUCACCCUUUGUCUGUGCCUUUUUUUCCCCUUCUCUGCAACACACUGGAGUGCGUCUAAAACGUUUCCUAGCACAUCAUUCGAAGAGAUGAGUCAGCUACAUGAAGCUCGAGUAUAUUCUACGCCAUCCUCCUGCCCUCUGUGCAUCCUCACUAAACCACAUCCUGCUCCACAUGCAAAUAAACACAUGUAUACACACCCACACAGCCUUUGCAGAUGUUUAUGCAUCUCAAUG